UGGCUCAGGACGAACGCUGGCGGCGUGCUUCAUACAUGCAAGUCGAACGAGAAAUUCACUUCGGUGGAUGGAAAGUGGCGGACGGGUGAGUAAUGUGUAGAGAAUCUGCCCUAGAGUGGGGGACAACAGUUGGAAACGACUGCUAAUACCCCAUAUGCGCGUAGUUGAGAUACUAUUCGUGAAAACUCCGGUGCUCUGGGAUGAGUCUGCAUCUGAUUAGCUAGUUGGGGGUGUAAUGGACCACCAAGGCGACGAUCAGUAGCUGGUUUGAGAGGAUGAUCAGCCACAAUGGGACUGAGACACGGCCCAUACUCCUACGGGAGGCAGCAGUAGGGAAUUUUGCGCAAUGGGGGAAACCCUGACGCAGCAACGCCGCGUGACCGAUUAAGCCCUUCGGGGUGUAAAGGUCUGUCAGUGGGGACGAAACCUGACGGUACCCACAGAGGAAGCAUCGGCUAACUCCGUGCCAGCCGCCGC
RNAcentral lists this ribosomal RNA (477 nucleotides) under uncultured bacterium. Its description in RNAcentral is "bacterial SSU rRNA". It matches the Rfam family "Bacterial small subunit ribosomal RNA", at positions 20 to 518 of the family's 1533-position model. The record is from RNAcentral.